UUAUUAUUAUUAUUAUUAUUAUUUUUAUUUUUUUAAAAAGUUUCUUGGAUCUAAUUCUGAUUGACAUGAUGAAAUGCAAUAUGAAAUGCUAAAUGAAUGCAUGAAUGAGGAGGGCAAAUUUUGGGGUGUUACACUUUACUGGGCAGAAGCAAAGUAUAUUGUUACUAUAAGUAGUUACCAUCAACCAUUGUGGGGUAACCAAAUGCUCAAAGGUUACACAGGAUGCCAUGACAUUAUUCUGUGACAAUAAGCUAUUGUGCUUAAAGUUUCAAAAAGACCACAUUUUUAUAUUUUUUCU
RNAcentral lists this long non-coding RNA (298 nucleotides) under Lathyrus oleraceus (garden pea). RNAcentral's name for it is "Pisum sativum (pea) long non-coding RNA (PSAT_LNC029876)". The record is from RNAcentral. Lineage: Eukaryota; Viridiplantae; Streptophyta; Magnoliopsida; Fabales; Fabaceae.